UCCCUGGGAACUCGGGGAAUUGUAGGUUUGUGAAGAGUGUCAGGGUCUCCUAACAAUGUUCAGCACCCUUAACAAACUACAGUUCUUGAAACAUAAAGAGUGUGGAUGAAGCCUUUCAUAUCUUCAUCCAGCCUUGUGCAAAUUAAGCUGGUAUAAAUACCUCACUCAGGCUGUGUUAUGGGGAACUUGGAGGGCUCAGAAGAGGCCGACAAGAUUUCCCAAGGGACGGCUUGAUUGCUAAUACCCACCUUACCUUGCACUGAGGUGGGAGGACCUGUGUUCUAAGAUGUGCUCUCCGUUUAAUGUGGGGCAUUAAUGCGGUCGUGCCUAGCAAGUAUCCCCCGCAAAUCUAAUGUGCACCCGCUAGAAUGUGCCCCAGCAUCCUCGGCAAUGUGAUGGGGUUCGGUGUCAGGCAUGCCAGGAUUGCUUGGCAAACUCAGACCUGUUCAGGCACCCUAGCCUUUGCACAAUGGUGGGAGAAUAUCCUUACUGGCCCCUUCCCCUCUGCCAUAUGCCCACCAGCUACAGGGAGGGACCGACUGAGAAAGAAUGAGCCGCCUCUUUCUAGAAUUUGACAUAAAUGGAAUUCAUUGGCAAGCUGGUUUGGUUGUUCCUUACCUUUAAAGGCCUGCUGGAGAGGAGGAACGGGGCGGUGGAGAAACUUAAAGACUUCAGGGGCAUAAAUGACUUAGGGGCAGGGCAGGGCAAGGAGCUGUGAAAAGCAAAUAACCCUAUGACCAUUGGAACUUCCAUCCAGGCUAUUUCUGGUGGUUGUUUUUAAAGCAUGCACUUAAGCAGUGCCAGGAGGUCUGGAAACCUUAACCAGAGAGUGUCCUUCCAGAUUCUGAGCUAAUAUGUGGAAUAUCCACAGCCUACACUACAGUUAAUAUUAGGUUGGGGUUUCCAUGUGGAGUCCUAAAGGUAGCAGGGUGCAGUGGAACUCUUAACGGCUAAUAUGUUUUGGAAAAUUGACUUUGUGCUCACACUUUGGUUCUCUUAGGACCAAAUCUGGAAUGUUUUUAAAUGGAAUCUGGUCCAAGGGCCAGAUUACUUUCUUCUUUUUUCAUUUUUUUUCCAUAUGCCUUCUGAAGAUUUCUCAAGGUAUCCCGACUCUUAGGUCACCCAGAAGUACUGGCAUAUCCAAAAACGGUUGCUUAACUUGCUUUAGAAUUAAACAACAAGGCUUUGGAAGCCAGAUCCAUAGCCAUGAAGAGGAAUUAGACUCAGGCAGUCAUAAUGAUCCCAGAGUCAUUCAUCUGACCUGGCUUUUUUCUUUUUGAAAGAUGGGAACAAAACAAGGUCUUUCUUUUUUAAAAGAUGUGUGCCAGAUAUGAAUUUGGCUUUUCAAAAAGUUUUUGAAAUUGAAGAGGCUCUGUCAUAAUUUUAUUACUUGGAGGAUACACAGGUGUUAAUAGCUAUGAAAUUUACACAUGCAUAUACUACCUCAAAGUUCACAGUAAGAUACGAAUUCUAGAAGAGAGAGAGAGAGUGUGUGUGUGUGUGUGUCUGUGUGUGUGUGUGAGAGAGAGAGAGAGGGGGGGGGGAGAGAGAAUUAUCCACACUCUGAGGCUGUUUCCCUACAUAAGCCUUGAAGAAGAUGGAAAAAAGAAUCCUAGGAUUGUUUGGCUACCACCAUUUCCCCUUAAAUUGGGACAGCUACCUCAAGGAAGAGUAGUAAAGAUAACUUAUGCAGUGGAAUGGUGGCUUCUCUUAAUUUUUGCCAUAGCUGCACCGCAAACUCUUACCCUUCGCUUUAGUUCUGGUGCAGCGGGAUCCAGUAAAACUGGCUUAGUGGCACUGUCUGGCCAAAAUACAGCAGGGGCCCAAAAGCUCACGAACAUGUCACCUGUGAAUUCUGCUCUCUCUCGAGAGAGAACUUUGUAAGUUCUGCAACAAGGAAACUCCUGUGGUGCAAGCCGAAACUCCAGUUUUCACGACCGACAUGUGUUAUUCUGAAAAUCGGCAACAUUAGCCAUAGCUGCUCAGAGAUUACCUUCCACUUAAUCCCGUGGCAGCUGGCAUUGCUUGGCAUGGAUUUGAGGGGCAGGGUAUAUAGAAACAUAGGAAGCUGCCUUACACCAAGUAAGGCCAAUGGUUCAUCUAGGUCAGAAUUAUCUACAACACUGACAGGUAGCAGUUCUUCAGGGUUGCAGGCAGGAGUCUUACCUGGAGAUGCCAGAGAUUAUACCUGGGGCUUCCUGUAUGCAAGACGCAGGCUACAUCCAUCCUGGGACAGGGGCUUCGAGUUUUAAGGACCUGUGCCUUUGUUCUGUCCUUUCCUUGAGUCUCAAACUUGGGUCUUGAGCUGGUUUUGGACUACAACUCCCAUCAUCCCUAGCUAGCAGAUCCAGUGGUCAGGGAUGAUGGGAAUUGUAGUAAAAAACAAACAAACCUGGCGACCCAAGCUUGGAAAACACUGCUCUCUAGACCAUAACAGACCUCUCUUAUUUCACAGUUGAAUUGAUUCACAUGCCAGAAGCACAUGCAGGCAUGAUCUCUGUUGCUUUUCAUUGAAAGGCCCUCAAGUCUGCUCAGUCUGUUACAUAGUUCAGUUACAACAUCAGUGGGAAUAAGCCGGUCGCUAGCAGCUGAUGUUUCCAAGCCAUGUGCUAUGAUAAUGUUAAUAAACAGAGACACCCCACCCCAGCCUCCUGUUUGAAUCAGAGAGUUUUUCUAAUAGCUUCAAGAAGCAACAAGCUGGAUCCUGCUGCACCAAACCUGGAGAAGAGAGGGAGGAAGCCAUUACCCCUUUAUCUGUAGCUCCCCCCCAGAAGAACUCGGAAACAUGAAGACAUUACUGUACAGAUCUUGACUUAAGUUCCUUGGGAAAACAGGUUGAAAAUGCAUAGGGGGCAGUGUUGGUGCAUCCUGUUUUUCAGCCCAGGAACAACAACUGAAAAUGCAAACAACGAAUUUUAGUAAACAGGCUGGAUAGCUUAGUCCAAGGCGUUGUGCCAACUGGAAUUUUCUGUAAUAAGGCCACGUUGGAUGAGAGGGAUCAUCUGCCAGCAGCUGCAUGGAAGGUCCGUUCAGAUGAAAGAGUUUGACUUGCACACAGCCAGCUGAGAAUUGACCCAGGAGUUCUUCUGUAGUAGUUCUAUACUGAACAGAACUGGUGGGAGGCAAGACGUUUGGCCAUGUCUUGUGAAAGCAGGGAAGAUUCAGAUAAGGUGGACGUAGGCCAUAUUUUACUCAUCAGUAGCUUAAAUCACUGUGUGCAUGUGAGCCACAGAGGAAGCUGAACAUUCAAGUGACGUUUUAGCAAGCAUCCGUAGUAAGAAUGAAUGCAAGUGGUGUCUCUUAUGCGGGAGAGUACAAAAAACAAACCCCAAAGCAUUCAGCUUAAACAUGUUGGAAGCGGAUUGUAAGAAUCUGCAAAGGGUGAGAAUCACUUGCCUUCUAAUAGGCAAAAUACGAUGGUACAUCCCCAUUUGUUCCGUUCACACCCUGGCUUAAAUUUUGGCUACACAACCCUCUUGAAAAUAAUAAUACAGUGUUAGUCUUCUCACUCCUUUAAAUCUGUAUUUGAAUCCUGCGUCUUUGUCAUCGGUUACAGAAUCUUUUUACACGUUUGACUUUUUGAAAGCUAAAUUUUCUCCCUUGGUUUGUGGUUGGGUGUACAGGCAACAGAGGGCAGCCGUGUCAGGCAAGGAUCGAUUUGAUACAAGUGGCAUUCAAAACAUGAAGCGCAUCUAGCUGGAAUGGCAGUGAUGGUAAACUAAGUAGUAGUUAUGGGGAGAGUGUCAGAGAGAAGGUAAGAUUCCUGUCACUGGUCCCUGUCUACAAUAUAUAGCAUUCCCCCCGCCCCCCAAAAAAGGCAUGUGCUAUUUGAUGGAAUGACUGGUUUACACAAUUUUCAGGGAAACUGGCAUCUUUUGGGCAUUUUGUUGCCUACAUACAAGAUAACAACCAUUUGGUGCAGGUGUCUGAUUUAAACUUUACGCAACUAUCAGAUAUCCUGAAGCGGGGGAGGGACGGAGGGACCCACUUAUUCCUUCAAAAUACCCUUAUACCGAAUAUAAUAAGCUGGCCUAGCCUUAUCUGCCUCCCAAGGGUGGUGCAAUGGGCAAACAGAGCAGGUCAUGGAACAAUACCUUCCGCUUCUUUUAUUCUGUAAUCGCAAAGGGAAUACAGAAUUAAUUUCCUGGCUGUGCCUAUAGAAAUGGAACUCUCUCAACCAGGAUUUAGCUGUCUGGAAAUCUAAACAGUUGCCCUGUGCUAGAGUGGCAGAAUCAAAGAGUGCCUAAUAUGUAGGGUGGAGUAUUUGAGGUUGUGUGUGCAUUUUUAGUUGGUGGUAUGAGUACCGCGCUCACCCACUGAACACCGGCAGCACCCAUUUUAGAUAUAAAAUCCUACUUGCACCUGUGGAUGCCGUUACCCAGAUCAGGGUCUGCUGUCUGCUUCCAAAAAGCAGAAACUUGGAUUGCUUGAGUCUAGCCCUAGCACCACUGCUUUAAAAUAGCGGUGCCUGAGUAGUAAAAGAGUUCUGUAGGACUCGAAAGCUCACUUCUAGCCUUUCAAAUGCCUGCCCUGGUCCAGCAAUAGGAAUCCUAAGUCACGGCUUCCUUAAAUCUGACACUCUCCCUUUUAAUCAGGGUGAUUCCGUGCACUGCAUGUACAUGACGGAAGAGGGAAAAGACCCCCCCCCAGACCAGCCUGUGCCUUGGCUUAGUUCAGGUUGGGUGCCACUCCCCCACCUCCCCAAGCCUCUCAGCCAGCGUUAUCAAGCAGCACCCCAAAGUGCCUGUUUGAGCUGCAUGUCAUGCCAGCCUAAAGGGCAUGAUGACCAUAUAUACAUAUAAUAUGAAUGAAUAUAACCAAUUCAUGUUUGUUUAUCUACCUCUUAGCACCAAUAGAUUAAAAAAAAUAAAAAUAAAAGUAAAUAGGGUAGUGGAUAAUACAACAUGCUGUGUAGUGUAGGGAGAAAAAUACUUCUGUUUUUUUUCCAAAGAAAUAAUUGUUCUGCUUAAUAAAUAAAUAAAUGAACUAGAAAUGACGGGCGCUCUCUGCAUUUUAAAUCAGACUUGGGGGAAUUUGUAGAGGGCUGUGGAAUGAUGGGCUAGAGGCAAGGUGUGUUUGCAGGUAAAAGAUGCGUGGUGCGGCCAACAUGUUUCCGCAACGGGCGCAUCGCAGAGCAAGCCGCAGUCUUGAUUCCUGCUACGGAAUCACUGGGACAAGUCGCUGGCCCAGAUCCAAAGAACAACGGGAGCAGGGUGUGGGGCGUGUUCAAGCUGUGUGUGUGUGCACGCCCAGGAACAUCAGGAGUGAGCAGGGUAGGCGCAUACAGGAAACCACCAAGUCUGUGGCUUCUACAGGUUAGAUUGCGUUUAUUGCUGGGACAGAGAAUCGCGGCUGCUCGGGCAUCCGUCUGUAAAAUGGCGGCAAAAUAAUCCCUUGCCGCUUUGCUGUGAGGGAGGGUAAAGGCAACAGAGACUGGGAAGCAGUUUCUCUAUUGAGGAACUAAUUCACAGCAACAAGCUAUUUUGACAACAAUGCUCUCUGGGCAGCCACUGGUGUUCCAGCAAGGCUGCAUUGCCCAACUCCCCUCUACAAGUCAAUUAACCCUGGUUUUUAAAGUGUGUGUUAGUUUGUAAGAGCCCCGCAACCUCAACUGUUUCGUCCCCCCUUUUAUGACUUUGUUUUAAAUGCACCACCUGAUUACUCAUUUCUCCUCUUUCCUAACAAAACCCCAUCAUAAGUCCCCACUCCCAUUUUCUUUCCACGGUCUUGGCGUAAGCACUGACAAGAGUUGAGACAGCUAUCCAGCAGUGAUUGAUUGAAUUGUGCCUUAGAUCCACAAGUGCAUAGUCUUUUGCAAAUCUUUUCCUCGUUUGAGGGUACUGAACACACACACACACCAACAACAACAACCUCACUAGAUCUGUGUCAACGGAAGGACUCGUAAGAAUUGUUUUGUUGGAUGAGAGUCCUUAAGUCCAGCUUUAGGCUAGCAGUCUUGAUUCCAACAGUAACAACUUAGAUGGCUCUGGGAAGAUCGGAGCGAGAAAUGACAGUCAUUUUCUAGCCACCUGUUUUGCCACCAGCAUCAGAAAUACUGCUUCUGAACAUGGAAGGGUUAGUUUAGUUAACCUGGUGAAUGUCUCUAAUCUUUCUCUGAAGCCAUCUCAGGUGUGAAAAAAAGCAACAGCAAGAAGUUUACAUCUUUCAGUUACUUUGCUGGAGACCUUGUAUUAAAGCUAUUUUACUACUUGGGUGUUGGUCCCAAUUCCUUCAGAGCAAUCGGUUGUUAAAACGAUUUUAUGACAAGUCACAUGUAUAUGCAACAAGGUUAUGUGAAUUUGGGGGGGGUCUGUUUACCGUACAAUAUUAUAAGGACAUGUAUAAAAACAACAACAGCGUCCACUGUUUUCUCUUUUUUAUUCUAAGCCAUUGAAAUCAUCACAAAUUCAGACUAAAUCUGAAAGGCUGUGCUCUUAACAAUUGUUUUCCUCCCUUUCGGUCAACUGUAUUGAAAAAAAAAGUUGUUUUGUU
Long non-coding RNA from Podarcis raffonei (Aeolian wall lizard), 6492 nucleotides. RefSeq lists it as uncharacterized. The record is from RefSeq and is a predicted model, not a curated record. The transcript has 2 exons. NCBI's taxonomy places the organism in Eukaryota, Metazoa, Chordata, Lepidosauria, Squamata, Lacertidae.